CCUUCCCAUCCCGAACAGGACAGUGAAACGACUCAGCGCCGAUGAUAGUGCGGGUUCCCGUGUGAAAGUAGGUCAUCGUCAGGC
This 84-nucleotide ribosomal RNA is filed under the name Variovorax sp. PDC80. Lineage: Bacteria; Pseudomonadati; Pseudomonadota; Betaproteobacteria; Burkholderiales; Comamonadaceae. The record is from RNAcentral.